UACGUAGGGGGCAAGCGUUGUCCGGAUUCAUUGGGCGUAAAGCGCGGGCAGGCGGCCUGCUCAGUCGGCCGUGAAAGCGCCGGGCUCAACUCGGCGAGGUCGGGCGAUACUGGCAGGCUGGAGGCUGGUAGAGGGCGGUGGAAUUCCGGGUGUAGUGGUGGAAUGCGUAGAGCUCCGGAGGAACACCAGUGGCGAAGGCGGCCGCCUGGGCCAGUCCUGACGCUGAGGUGCGAAAGCGUGGGGAGCAAACAGG
RNAcentral lists this ribosomal RNA (253 nucleotides) under uncultured bacterium. RNAcentral describes it as "partial 16S ribosomal RNA". It matches the Rfam family "Bacterial small subunit ribosomal RNA", at positions 524 to 776 of the family's 1533-position model. The record is from RNAcentral.